UCCCUGGCAGUCCAGUGGUUAAGACUCUGUGCUUCCAAUGCAGAGGGUGCAGGGUUCCAUCCCUGGUCAGGGAA
RNAcentral lists this transfer RNA (74 nucleotides) under Bos taurus (domestic cattle). It matches the Rfam family "tRNA". Rfam says of the family: Transfer RNA (tRNA) molecules are approximately 80 nucleotides in length. Their secondary structure includes four short double-helical elements and three loops (D, anti-codon, and T loops). RNAcentral also lists the same sequence under 4 other names. The record is from Rfam by way of RNAcentral. Lineage: Eukaryota; Metazoa; Chordata; Mammalia; Artiodactyla; Bovidae.